GACGAACGCUGGCGGCAUGCCUAACACAUGCAAGUCGAGCGAGGUGAGUUCUUCGGAACGAUCCUAGCGGCGGACGGGUGAGUAACACGUGGGCAACCUGCCUCAUAGAGGGGAAUAGCCUUCCGAAAGGAAGAUUAAUACCGCAUAAGAUUGUAUCUUCGCAUGAAGAAGCAAUUAAAGGAGCAAUCCGCUAUGAGAUGGGCCCGCGGCGCAUUAGCUAGUUGGUGAGGUAACGGCUCACCAAGGCGACGAUGCGUAGCCGACCUGAGAGGGUGAUCGGCCACAUUGGGACUGAGACACGGCCCAGACUCCUACGGGUGGCAG
This 324-nucleotide ribosomal RNA is filed under the name uncultured Bacillota bacterium. RNAcentral describes it as "bacterial SSU rRNA". It matches the Rfam family "Bacterial small subunit ribosomal RNA", at positions 28 to 351 of the family's 1533-position model. The record is from RNAcentral. Lineage: Bacteria; Bacillati; Bacillota.